This 271-nucleotide ribosomal RNA is filed under the name Salmonella enterica. RNAcentral's name for it is "partial 16S ribosomal RNA". It matches the Rfam family "Bacterial small subunit ribosomal RNA", at positions 1 to 268 of the family's 1533-position model. RNAcentral also lists the same sequence under 3 other names. Lineage: Bacteria; Pseudomonadati; Pseudomonadota; Gammaproteobacteria; Enterobacterales; Enterobacteriaceae. The record is from RNAcentral.
AAAUUGAAGAGUUUGAUCAUGGCUCAGAUUGAACGCUGGCGGCAGGCCUAACACAUGCAAGUCGAACGGUAACAGGAAGCAGCUUGCUGCUUUGCUGACGAGUGGCGGACGGGUGAGUAAUGUCUGGGAAACUGCCUGAUGGAGGGGGAUAACUACUGGAAACGGUGGCUAAUACCGCAUAACGUCGCAAGACCAAAGAGGGGGACCUUCGGGCCUCUUGCCAUCAGAUGUGCCCAGAUGGGAUUAGCUUGUUGGUGAGGUAACGGCUCAC